CGGGGUGCAGCAGGCGCGAAAACUUUACAAUGCGGGAAACCGUGAUAAGGGGACACCGAGUGCCAGCAUCAUAUGCUGGCUGUCCAGGUGUGUAAAAUACACCUGUUAGCAAGGGCCGGGCAAGACCGGUGCCAGCCGCCGCGGUAACACCGGCGGCCCGAGUGGUGAUCGUGAUUAUUGGGUCUAAAGGGUCCGUAGCCGGUUUGGUCAGUCCUCCGGGAAAUCUGACGGCUUAACCGUUAGGCUUUCGGGGGAUACUGCCAGGCUUGGAACCGGGAGAGGUAAGAGGUACUACAGGGGUAGGAGUGAAAUCUUGUAAUCCCUGUGAGACCACCUGUGGCGAAGGCGUCUUACCAGAACGGGUUCGACGGUGAGGGACGAAAGCUGGGGGCACGAACCGGAUUAGAUACCCGGGUAGUCCCAGCCGUAAACGAUGCUCGCUAGGUGUCAGGCAUGGCGCGACCGUGUCUGGUGCCGCAGGGAAGCCGUGAAGCGAGCCACCUGGGAAGUACGGCCGCAAGGCUGAAACUUAAAGGAAUUGGCGGGG
Molecule: ribosomal RNA, 547 nt
Filed under: uncultured archaeon
Lineage: Archaea
Description: bacterial SSU rRNA
Rfam family: Archaeal small subunit ribosomal RNA
Source: RNAcentral